Labeo rohita (rohu) is the source of this 426-nucleotide long non-coding RNA. RefSeq lists it as uncharacterized. The record is from RefSeq and is a predicted model, not a curated record. The transcript has 3 exons. Lineage: Eukaryota; Metazoa; Chordata; Actinopteri; Cypriniformes; Cyprinidae.
GUAAGGAGUAACUGGGAGGAGAGAAGCGUCUGCGCGCCGCUGAACCGCAGGAGCUGCUGCCAGUGACACUGAGCCUCCAGUGAAGACACGCCGAUCAGAUGCACACAUCUAAAGCUCUCAGAGGAUGAGGAUGAUGAUGAGGAAGCUCAGGUGAUUCGGUCACAGCUCUUUCAGGACAAGUGUUGAGCACCAUUUAAGAGCACUACAUAGACAACAUGAUCUGCUUCUGAGACUGAUCUGAGAUCUGGACCAUGACGAUCACAAACGCUGCUGUUGAUCAUUAAAGUUUCUCAGACGGCAGCUGAUUGGGACGUAGGGGGAGCGAGAGCAAGGCAAUGAAUGCAGUGAAGAGCAGCGAACAGACUCCAGAUCAUGCAACCAGCAUGAGGAAGCCUGACCUUCAUCCCUCCUCAAACACAGAGCACA